GCCCGGUUGGCACAAUUGGUUAGCGCGUGCGGCUUUUACGAGACGUCAGUCACAAUAAACCGCAAGGUUGAGAGUUCAAGCCUCUCAUCGGGCG
This is a non-coding RNA of Bacidia gigantensis, 94 nucleotides long. Lineage: Eukaryota; Fungi; Ascomycota; Lecanoromycetes; Lecanorales; Ramalinaceae. The record is from the annotation of a RefSeq genome assembly.